This 98-nucleotide transfer RNA is filed under the name Streptomyces filamentosus. Its description in RNAcentral is "tRNA-Ile". The record is from RNAcentral. Lineage: Bacteria; Bacillati; Actinomycetota; Actinomycetes; Kitasatosporales; Streptomycetaceae.
GCCGCCGGCUACACCGAGGGCGGCCGGCUGGCCCGGCUGAUGCCCGGCUGGCAGGUCAUCGGCUGGGCGCUGGUGUUCUGCCUGCCGCUGACGGUCCC